UACGUAGGGGGCAAGCGUUAAUCGGAAUUACUGGGCGUAAAGCGUGCGCAGGCGGUUUUGUAAGUCGGACGUGAAAUCCCCGGGCUCAACCUGGGAAUUGCGUUGGAGACUGCAAGGCUAGAAUCUGGCAGAGGGGGGUAGAAUUCCACGUGUAGCAGUGAAAUGCGUAGAGAUGUGGAGGAACACCGAUGGCGAAGGCAGCCCCCUGGGUCAAGAUUGACGCUCAUGCACGAAAGCGUGGGGAGCAAACAGG
RNAcentral lists this ribosomal RNA (253 nucleotides) under uncultured bacterium. RNAcentral's name for it is "partial 16S ribosomal RNA". It matches the Rfam family "Bacterial small subunit ribosomal RNA", at positions 524 to 776 of the family's 1533-position model. The record is from RNAcentral.